RNAcentral lists this ribosomal RNA (551 nucleotides) under Myroides odoratimimus. RNAcentral describes it as "bacterial SSU rRNA". It matches the Rfam family "Bacterial small subunit ribosomal RNA", at positions 191 to 742 of the family's 1533-position model. Lineage: Bacteria; Pseudomonadati; Bacteroidota; Flavobacteriia; Flavobacteriales; Flavobacteriaceae. The record is from RNAcentral.
CGUAUUGAUAAUAAAGAUUUAUCGGUAUAAGAUGGGCAUGCGUAUCAUUAGCUAGUUGGUGUGGUAACGGCAUACCAAGGCAACGAUGAUUAGGGGUCCUGAGAGGGAGAUCCCCCACACUGGUACUGAGACACGGACCAGACUCCUACGGGAGGCAGCAGUGAGGAAUAUUGGUCAAUGGAGGCAACUCUGAACCAGCCAUGCCGCGUGCAGGAUGACGGUCCUAUGGAUUGUAAACUGCUUUUGUACAGGAAGAAACCUCCCUACGAGUAGGGACUUGACGGUACUGUAAGAAUAAGGAUCGGCUAACUCCGUGCCAGCAGCCGCGGUAAUACGGAGGAUCCGAGCGUUAUCCGGAAUUAUUGGGUUUAAAGGGUUCGUAGGCGGCUUUGUAAGUCAGUGGUGAAAUUUCCUAGCUUAACUAGGACACUGCCAUUGAUACUGCAGAGCUUGAAUAAUAUGGAAGUAACUAGAAUAUGUAGUGUAGCGGUGAAAUGCUUAGAUAUUACAUGGAAUACCAAUUGCGAAGGCAGGUUACUACGUAUUUAUUG